GUGGUGAUUCAGUUGUAGAGUGCUUGCCUAGCAUGUAUGAGGCCCUCCCUGGGUUCGAUUCUCAGCACCACA
This 72-nucleotide transfer RNA is filed under the name Marmota monax (woodchuck). RNAcentral's name for it is "tRNA.Ala". Lineage: Eukaryota; Metazoa; Chordata; Mammalia; Rodentia; Sciuridae. The record is from RNAcentral.